RNAcentral lists this ribosomal RNA (1735 nucleotides) under Allium cepa (onion). RNAcentral's name for it is "bacterial LSU rRNA". It matches the Rfam family "Bacterial large subunit ribosomal RNA", at positions 917 to 2637 of the family's 2925-position model. Lineage: Eukaryota; Viridiplantae; Streptophyta; Magnoliopsida; Asparagales; Amaryllidaceae. The record is from RNAcentral.
GGCUAGGGGGUCAUCCCGACUUACCAAACCGAUGCAAACUCCGAAUACCGAGAGUGAUAUCCGGGAGACAGACAGCGGGUGCUAACGUCCGUUGUCAAGAGGGAAACAACCCAGACCGCCAGCUAAGGUCCCAAAAUAGAUUAAGUGGUAAACGAUGUGGGAAGGCAAAAAGCAGACCAGGAGGUUGGCUUAGAAGCAGCCACACUUUAAAGAAAGCGUAAUAGCUCACUAGUCGAGUCGGCCUGCGCGGAAGAUGUAACGGGGCUCAAAUCUAUAACCGAAGCUGCGGAUGCCAGUUUACUGGCAUGGUAGGGGAGCGUUCUGUAGGCCGAUGAAGGUGCAUUGUAAAGUGUGCUGGAGGUAUCAGAAGUGCGAAUGUUGACAUGAGUAGCGAUAAAGCGGGUGAAAAGCCCGCUCGCCGAAAGCCCAAGGUUUCCUACGCAACGUUCAUCGGCGUAGGGUGAGUCGGCCCCUAAGGCGAGGCAGAAAUGCGUAGUCGAUGGGAAACGGGUUAAUAUUCCCGUACUUCUAGUUACUGCGAUGGAGGGACGGAGAAGGCUAGGCCAGCACGGCGUUGGUUGUCCGUGUUUAAGGUGGUAGGCUGAGAUCUUAGGUAAAUCCGGGAUCUUAAGGCCGAGAGCUGAUGACGAGCGUUCUUUUAGAAUGCGAAGUGGUUGAUGCCAUGCUUCCAGGAAAAGCUUCUAAGCUUCAGGUAACUAGGAACCGUACCCCAAACCGACACAGGUGGUUAGGUAGAGAAUACCAAGGCGCUUGAGAGAACUCUGCUGAAGGAACUAGGCAAAAUGGUACCGUAACUUCGGGAGAAGGUACGCUGCCGAUGGUGAGUAGUCACGCACUACAAAGCUAUUGGCAGUCGCAGAUACCAGGCCGCUGCAACUGUUUAUUAAAAACACAGCACUCUGCAAACACGAAAGUGGACGUAUAGGGUGUGAUGCCUGCCCGGUGCUGGAAGGUUAAUUGAUGGGGUUAGCGUAAGCGAAGCUCUUGAUCGAAGCCCCAGUAAACGGCGGCCGUAACAAUAACGGUCCUAAGGUAGCGAAAUUCCUUGUCGGGUAAGUUCCGACCUGCACGAAUGGCAUAAUGAUGGGGGCGCUGUCUCCAGCAGAGACUCAGUGAAAUCGAAAUCGCAGUGAAGAUGCUGUGUACCCGCGGAAAGACGGAAAGACCCCGUGAACCUUUACUACAGCUUUACAUUGAACUUUGACCUUACCUGUGUAGGAUAGGUGGGAGGCUUUGAAGCCGAGACGCUAGUUUCGGUGGAGCCAAUCUUGAAAUACCACCCUGGUAACCUUGAGGUUCUAACUCUGGUCCGUUAUCCGGAUCGAGGACCAUGUCUGGUGGGUAGUUUGACUGGGGCGGUCUCCUCCUAAAGAGUAACGGAGGAGUACGAAGGUGCGCUCAGAACGGUCGGAAAUCGUUCGUAGAGUAUAAAGGCAAAAGCGCGCUUAACUGCGAGACCCACAAGUCGAGCAGAUACGAAAGUAGGUCUUAGUGAUCCGGUGGUUCUGUAUGGAAGGGCCAUCGCUCAACGGAUAAAAGGUACUCUGGGGAUAACAGGCUGAUACCGCCCAAGAGUUCAUAUCGACGGCGGUGUUUGGCACCUCGAUGUCGGCUCGUCGCAUCCUGGGGCUGGAGCAGGUCCCAAGGGUUGGGCUGUUCGCCCAUUAAAGUGGUACGUGAGCUGGGUUUAAAACGUCGUGAGACAGUUCGGUCC